RNAcentral lists this ribosomal RNA (519 nucleotides) under Cyclophoridae sp. BOLD:ACT7881. RNAcentral describes it as "partial 16S ribosomal RNA". It matches the Rfam family "Bacterial large subunit ribosomal RNA", at positions 1810 to 2607 of the family's 2925-position model. The record is from RNAcentral. Lineage: Eukaryota; Metazoa; Mollusca; Gastropoda; Architaenioglossa; Cyclophoridae.
UAAACAUGUCUCUUUGUCUGUAUAACAUAAAGAGUCUGACCUGCCCAGUGAAUUACUUUUAACGGCCGCAGUACCCUGACUGUGCAAAGGUAGCAUAAUAAUUUGCCUUUUAAUUGAAGGCUUGUAUGAACGGUUUGACGAGAGCACAGCUGUCUCAUUUAUAUUCAUAAAAUUUAUUUUUUUGGUUAAAAAGCCUAAAUUCCAUUGAAAGACGAGAAGACCCUAUCGAGCUUUAAAAAAGUAUUGGUUAGAAAUUUUUUAAAUUCAGGCUGAAUAAUAUUUUGGUUGGGGCGACCGCGGAGAAAAAAAAUCCUCCGUUUAUAAUUAAUAAACGAUAGUUUUUAGAUCCAAAUAUUAUUGAUAAAAAGAAUUAGUUACCGUAGGGAUAACAGCGUAAUUCUAUUGGAGAGGUCUCAUCGAUAAUAGAGAUUACGACCUCGAUGUUGGAUUAAAAAAACAAAAAGGCGCAGAAGCUAUUAUGUGUUGGUCUGUUCGACCAUUAAAAUUUUACGUGAUCUG